GGGCGCGUGGCACAGCGGUAGCGCACUCCCUUCACACGGGAGGGGUCACAGGUUCGAUCCCUGUCGCGCCCACCA
This 75-nucleotide transfer RNA is filed under the name Hyphomicrobiaceae bacterium. RNAcentral describes it as "tRNA-Val". It matches the Rfam family "tRNA". From Rfam's summary of the family: Transfer RNA (tRNA) molecules are approximately 80 nucleotides in length. Lineage: Bacteria; Pseudomonadati; Pseudomonadota; Alphaproteobacteria; Hyphomicrobiales; Hyphomicrobiaceae. The record is from RNAcentral. RNAcentral also lists the same sequence under 1 other name.